This 628-nucleotide ribosomal RNA is filed under the name uncultured Actinomycetes bacterium. RNAcentral describes it as "SSU rRNA". It matches the Rfam family "Bacterial small subunit ribosomal RNA", at positions 278 to 915 of the family's 1533-position model. The record is from RNAcentral. Lineage: Bacteria; Bacillati; Actinomycetota; Actinomycetes.
GACGGGUAGCCGGCCUGAGAGGGCGUCCGGCCACACUGGGACUGAGACACGGCCCAGACUCCUACGGGAGGCAGCAGUGGGGAAUAUUGCGCAAUGGGCGGAAGCCUGACGCAGCGACGCCGCGUGGGGGAUGACGGCCUUCGGGUUGUAAACCUCUUUCGACCUCGACGAAGAGUGAUUGACGGUAGGGGUGGAAGAAGCACCGGCCAACUACGUGCCAGCAGCCGCGGUAAUACGUAGGGUGCGAGCGUUGUCCGGAAUUAUUGGGCGUAAAGAGCUCGUAGGCGGUGUGUCACGUCGGCCGUGAAAACCUGCAGCUUAACUGUGGGCGUGCGGUCGAUACGGGCAUCACUGGAGUUCGGCAGGGGAGACUGGAAUUCCUGGUGUAGCGGUGAAAUGCGCAGAUAUCAGGAGGAACACCGGUGGCGAAGGCGGGUCUCUGGGCCGAUACUGACGCUGAGGAGCGAAAGCGUGGGGAGCAAACAGGAUUAGAUACCCUGAUAGUCCACGCCGUAAACGGUGGGCACUAGGUGUGGGGACCAUUCCACGGUUUCUGUGCCGCAGCUAACGCAUUAAGUGCCCCGCCUGGGGAGUACGGCCGCAAGGCUAAAACUCAAAGGAAUGGACG